This is a non-coding RNA of Acanthosepion pharaonis, 112 nucleotides long. The record is from the annotation of a GenBank genome assembly. NCBI's taxonomy places the organism in Eukaryota, Metazoa, Mollusca, Cephalopoda, Sepiida, Sepiidae.
AUGGUCAUAUCACAUUAAAACAUCAGUUCUUAUUUGAUCACCAAAGUUAAGCAAAAUCAUGCCUGGUCAGUACCUAGAUGGGUAACCACUUGGUAAUACUAAGUGCUGUAAG